Long non-coding RNA from Gossypium raimondii (Peruvian cotton), 450 nucleotides. RefSeq lists it as uncharacterized. The transcript is spliced from 2 exons. The record is from RefSeq and is a predicted model, not a curated record. NCBI's taxonomy places the organism in Eukaryota, Viridiplantae, Streptophyta, Magnoliopsida, Malvales, Malvaceae.
ACGAGAUUUUCAAGCCAUCAGUUUUGACAGGCACAAAUUUCAAUAACAGAAACCUGUAUAAGUUAAGAACAGUUUACCCUUAAGUUUUGCAUAGGUUUACCGUGGAUAAGUUGCUCCCCUUGUCCUUCACCUUCCUUGUGUUCAUUUUCAUGGUGUUCAAACUAUGGAUGAGAUCCAAAAUAAAGGUGUCACUGAGAUUUUAUUACAUGUUCCCACUCGCCAGCACAUUCCAUCUUGGAGAAUUCCUUUUGAAGCCCAAAUACUUCACCAAGUAUAUGAAGGUAAUCCCCAACCUUAGUUGAUUUGGAGCUGCGAGGGACUUGGAGGUGGCCACACAUUCGCUAGUAUUUUUAUUCUAGACUGAUUUCUUUUAAAGUUUACUUUGGGUUGUUUUUUAUGUAAUAAGACCUUUGGUAUUUUAAUUUUCUUUAAAAUGGGUUUAUUUAUUUA